CGGUAAUUCCAGCUCCAAUAGCGCAUACUAAAGUUGUUGCAGUUAAAAAGCUCGUAGUUGGAUUUCUGCGGGGACGGAGCGGCCGGACGCAACUUGCGUCUCGAGCUAGCGCUUUCCCCACAUCCUGCCGCGAACCGUGCUACCAUUAGCUUGGUGGCGCUGGGGAUCGGCUCGAUUACUUUGAGAAAAAUAGAGUGUUCAAAGCAGGCCACACGCCUUGAAUAAGUUAGCAUGGAAUAAUGACUAAGGACUUCGGUUCUAUUUUGUUGGUGUUCGGGACUGAAGUAAUGAUUGAUAGGGACAGUUGGGGCGGUCUGUAUUCCAAAGCGAGAGGUGAAAUUCUUAGACCUUCGGAAGACGAACAGCUGCGAAAGCGUUCCGCAAGGAUGUUCCCUUUGAUCAAGAACGAAAGUUGGGGGAUCGAAGACGAUCAGAUACCGUCGUAGCCUCAACUAUAAACUAUACCAGCUAGGGAUCGGCCAACGUUUAACUUUAUCGACUUGGUCGGCACCUUAUGAGAAAUCAAAGCAUCUGGGUUCCGGGGGGAGUAUGGUCGCAAGGCUGAAACUUAAAGGAAUUGACGGAAGGGCACCACCAGGCGUGGAGCCUGUGGCUUAAUUUGACUCAACACGGGAAAACUUACCAGGUCCAGACAUAGGAAGGAUUGACAGAUUGAUAGCUCUUUCUUGAUUCUGUGGGUGGUGGUGCAUGGCCGUUUUUAGUCGGUGAAGUGAUUUGUCUGCUUAAUUGCGUUAACGGACGAGACCCCAGCCUGCUAAAUAGCGCGGCCGAGCUUUGCUCGGUGCGAGCUUCUUAGAGGGACCAUGAUGCGCGAUAGCACAAGGAAGUUUGGGGCAACAACAGGUCUGUGAUGCCCUUAGAUGUUCUGGGCCGCACACGGGCUACACUGGCGCCUGCAACGAGCAUAUCAGCUGGCCCGAGAGGGUCUUGGCUAAUCUUUGGAACCGGCGCCGUGCUUGGGAUUGACCAUUGCAAUUGUUGGUCAUGCAACGAGGAAUGCCUUGUAAACGCGAGUCAUCAGCUCGCAUUGAAUACGUCCCUGCCCUUUGUACACACCGCCCGUCGCUCCUACCGAUGAAUGUUCCGAUGAAAUUUUCGGAGAGCGCCAGAGAACGGGGCUCUGCCUUGCAGAUCUGGAGGCUCAAAGUCACUUAAAUCUGAACAUUUCGAGGAAGGAGAAGUCGUAACAAGGUAGCCG
Molecule: ribosomal RNA, 1219 nt
Filed under: uncultured Rhizaria
Lineage: Eukaryota
Description: SSU rRNA
Rfam family: Eukaryotic small subunit ribosomal RNA
Source: RNAcentral